Arachis ipaensis is the source of this 292-nucleotide non-coding RNA. The record is from RefSeq and is a predicted model, not a curated record. Lineage: Eukaryota; Viridiplantae; Streptophyta; Magnoliopsida; Fabales; Fabaceae.
CCAAGACUGUUCAAAUUCAUUUUUCAACUUGUGAGGCAUUUGAUUUUGGCUACACGUAUUUACUAAAUCCUGUUUUGAUUCCCUGCAGAUUAUGAUGAAAGACCAAUUUGCAAAUUAUAUGAUCCAGAAGGUUAUUGAUAUAUGUUCUUAAAAUCAGCGAGCAAUCUUGCUUUCUCGCCUCAGAAUUCAUGCUCAUGCUUUGAAGAAAUACACUUAUGGAAAACACAUUGUGGCUCGGUUAGAACAACAAUUUGGAGAGAAUCAAACCCCCAGAUCAGGAAGACUAUAUACA